This 357-nucleotide small RNA is filed under the name Arabidopsis thaliana (thale cress). Its description in RNAcentral is "ATSL158360". Lineage: Eukaryota; Viridiplantae; Streptophyta; Magnoliopsida; Brassicales; Brassicaceae. The record is from RNAcentral.
UAUUCUUUAUUUUGUUUAGGGUUUAAGAUAAUAUAAUUUUAUUUUGAUUGUUAUAUCUAAAAUUUUACCUGUGAUAUACCGUCUCGUAUUACUAUUCACUCAAACCCGUCCUACCAUCUAAUCUCGUUCAGUGAAAUUAAACAAUCUAAUUAAUUUCACCUGUAGUAUAUUCUCUCGUAUUACUAUCGACCCAAACCUGUCAUACCAUUUAACCCCCGUUCAAUGAAAUUAAACAUUAUUUUGUUAUUUUUCUUUUAAUAAUAUUUUAAUUUAAAAGAUAUAUAAUUCAAAUCAAUCUAAAAAUAUAUAAUUCAAAAUUCUCAUAUUAUAGACAUGUGAAUGAAACCGUGCAAAUUU